GAACUGAAGAGUUUGAUCCUGGCUCAGAUUGAACGCUGGCGGCAUGCCUAACACAUGCAAGUCGAGCGGCAGCAGGUCCUUCGGGAUGCUGGCGAGCGGCGGACGGGUGAGUAACACGUGGGAAUCUACCUUUCGGUGGGGGAUAGCCCGGGGAAACUCGGAUUAAUACCGCAUAC
RNAcentral lists this ribosomal RNA (176 nucleotides) under Spiribacter sp. RNAcentral describes it as "partial 16S ribosomal RNA". It matches the Rfam family "Bacterial small subunit ribosomal RNA", at positions 1 to 176 of the family's 1533-position model. Lineage: Bacteria; Pseudomonadati; Pseudomonadota; Gammaproteobacteria; Chromatiales; Ectothiorhodospiraceae. The record is from RNAcentral.